This 474-nucleotide small RNA is filed under the name Lachancea sp. SW109. Its description in RNAcentral is "eukaryotic LSU rRNA". The stretch from base 138 to 289 matches the Rfam family "5.8S ribosomal RNA". The record is from RNAcentral. Lineage: Eukaryota; Fungi; Ascomycota; Saccharomycetes; Saccharomycetales; Saccharomycetaceae.
UCUACACACACACUGUGGAGUAAUUUAUUUUACAACGCUUCUUCUUUGGGCUUUACGGCCCAAGGGUUACAAACACAAACAAUUAUUGUAUUUUAAACAUUGUCAAUUAUUUUUCAUUUUAGAAAAAAAAUAUUUAAAACUUUCAACAAGAUCUCUUGGUUCUCGCAUCGAUGAAGAACGCAGCGAAAUGCGAUAAGUAUUGUGAAUUGCAGAUAUUCGUGAAUCAUCGAAUCUUUGAACGCACAUUGCGCCCUCUGGUAUUCCAGGGGGCAUGCCUGUUUGAGCGUCAUUUCCUUCUCAAACCCUCGGGUUUGGUAGUGAGUGGUACUCUUUCUGGGUUAACUUGAAAAUGCUGGCCAUCUGGCUGUUGCUGACUGAGGUUUUAGUCCAGUCCGCUGAUACUCUGCGUAUUAGGUUUUACCAACUCGUAGUGGCGUUAGUAGGCGUUUUAAAGGCUUUUACUGAAAGUACAGA